AUGCGAUGAUGUCUGAAUUUCUUCACCUGAAACUUGAGUGUUGAGCAAAAAAUCACGAGCUUUUUAACCCUGAGCACC
Molecule: small nucleolar RNA, 78 nt
Organism: Lepisosteus oculatus (spotted gar)
Lineage: Eukaryota; Metazoa; Chordata; Actinopteri; Semionotiformes; Lepisosteidae
Source: Ensembl